AUUUCUGUGCAUGAUUCGCGGGGUCAAGUCAGUGGGCAAGGCAGUGUACGUGACGGCAAUAUUGCCGUACAUACUCCUGAUCAUCAUCUUCAUCAGCACACUGAUUCAACCGGGAGCAGGAUCCGGUCUGCUGUACUACGUCACGCCGGACUUCCGGAAACUACAGGAUGUGAAGGUGUGGCUUGAGGCGUUUCUACAAGUGAU
RNAcentral lists this unclassified non-coding RNA (204 nucleotides) under Haliotis rubra (blacklip abalone). Its description in RNAcentral is "sodium- and chloride-dependent GABA transporter 1- like, transcript variant X2". Lineage: Eukaryota; Metazoa; Mollusca; Gastropoda; Lepetellida; Haliotidae. The record is from RNAcentral.